RNAcentral lists this transfer RNA (84 nucleotides) under Planctomycetota bacterium. Its description in RNAcentral is "tRNA-Leu". It matches the Rfam family "tRNA". From Rfam's summary of the family: Transfer RNA (tRNA) molecules are approximately 80 nucleotides in length. Their secondary structure includes four short double-helical elements and three loops (D, anti-codon, and T loops). Lineage: Bacteria; Pseudomonadati; Planctomycetota. The record is from RNAcentral. RNAcentral also lists the same sequence under 1 other name.
GCCGGAGUGGCGGAAUUGGCAGACGCGCUGGAUUCAAAAUCCAGUGCCCGCAAGGGCGUGUGGGUUCGAGUCCCACCUUCGGUA